GGACCAAGGAGUCUAGCAUGUGCGCGAGUCAUUGGGACUCUUACGAAACCUAAAGGCGCAAUGAAAGUGAAGGUCCGCCUCGCGCGGACCGAGGGAGGAUGGGCGGUCGCCAGCGGCCGUCCCGCACUCCCUGGGCGUCUCGUUCUCAUCGCGAGAAGAGGCGCACCAAGAGCGUACACGCUGGGACCCGAAAGAUGGUGAACUAUGCCUGGUCAGGACGAAGUCAGGGGAAACCCUGAUGGAGGUCCGUAGCGAUUCUGACGUGCAAAUCGAUCGUCGGAACUGGGUAUAGGGGCGAAAGACUAAUCGAACCAUCUAGUAGCUGGUUCCCUCCGAAGUUUCCCUCAGGAUAGCUGGCGCUCGCAUCUCGCGAGUCUCAUUCGGUAAAGCGAAUGAUUAGAGGCAUUGGGGUCGAAACGGCCUCAACCUAUUCUCAAACUUUAAAUGGGUGAGAUCUCCGGCUUGCUUGAACUGUGAAGCCGCGAGAUAUCGGAUCAGAGUGCCAAGUGGGCCACUUUUGGUAAGCAGAACUGGCGCUGUGGGAUGAACCAAACGCCGAGUUAAAGCGCCUAAAUCGACGCUUAUGGGAUACCAUGAAAGGCGUUGGUAACUUAAGACAGCAGGACGGUGGCCAUGGAAGUCGGA
RNAcentral lists this ribosomal RNA (645 nucleotides) under Geniates sp. Arg2. Its description in RNAcentral is "eukaryotic LSU rRNA". It matches the Rfam family "Eukaryotic large subunit ribosomal RNA", at positions 663 to 1265 of the family's 3401-position model. Lineage: Eukaryota; Metazoa; Arthropoda; Insecta; Coleoptera; Scarabaeidae. The record is from RNAcentral.